This 358-nucleotide long non-coding RNA is filed under the name Lactuca sativa (garden lettuce). RNAcentral's name for it is "long non-coding RNA (LSAT_LNC002328)". Lineage: Eukaryota; Viridiplantae; Streptophyta; Magnoliopsida; Asterales; Asteraceae. The record is from RNAcentral.
UAGACCUUACUAGCUGUAUCUUUCAUUUGAUACUGUCUGGGGUCUAUAGUCUCUGUUUCGACCUUGCUAGUUGUAUCUUUCAUUUGAUACUGUCUGGGGUCUAUAGUCUCUGUUUCGACCUUGCUAGCUGUAUCUUUCAUUUGAUACUGUCUGGGGUCUAUAGUCUCUGUUUCGACCUUGCUAGCUGUAUCUUUCAUUUGAUACUGUCUGGGGUCUAUAGUAUCUGUUUCGACCUUACCAGCUGUAUCUUUCAUUUGAUAAUGUCUGGGGUCUAUAGUCUUUGUUUUGACCUUGCGAGAGAUACUUUUCAUUUGGUAUCGUCUUCGAUCUAUAUUCACUGUUUUAGACCUUAUCAACU